This 460-nucleotide ribosomal RNA is filed under the name uncultured bacterium. RNAcentral describes it as "partial 16S ribosomal RNA". It matches the Rfam family "Bacterial small subunit ribosomal RNA", at positions 338 to 795 of the family's 1533-position model. The record is from RNAcentral.
CCUACGGGUGGCAGCAGUGAGGAAUAUUGGUCAAUGGACGAGAGUCUGAACCAGCCAAGUAGCGUGAAGGAUGACUGCCCUAUGGGUUGUAAACUUCUUUUAUAUGGGAAUAAAACGUUCCACGUGUGGGAUUUUGUAUGUACCAUAUGAAUAAGGAUCGGCUAACUCCGUGCCAGCAGCCGCGGUAAUACGGAGGAUCCGAGCGUUAUCCGGAUUUAUUGGGUUUAAAGGGAGCGUCGGUGGAUUGGUAAGUCAGUUGUGAAAGUUUGCGGCUCAACCGUAAAAUUGCAGUUGAAACUGGCAGUCUUGAGUACAGUAGAGGUGGGCGGAAUGCGUGGUGUAGCGGUGAAAUGCUUAGAUAUCACGAAGAACUCCGAUUGCGAAGGCAGUUCACUGGACUGCAACUGACACUGAGGCUCGAAAGUGUGGGUAUCAAACAGGAUUAGAUACCCUGGUAGUC